UUCACCCUGCCUGAUACGCGAAUGAUUUUUAAAUAACCCUACAACAUUUAAAUUGGGAGCCGGACUCUUUCAAGCGGUGUGCAGACCUCCCGUUUUCGGAAGAAGGGAGCCUGAUGCUUAAAGGUUAGCACCCACCUGCUACUUCGUAGGCAGGUUAUUAUCAAAAUCAUACGGUCAGGCGGGGUUUUA
RNAcentral lists this non-coding RNA (189 nucleotides) under Ruminococcus sp. Its description in RNAcentral is "6S RNA". It matches the Rfam family "6S / SsrS RNA". From Rfam's summary of the family: E. coli 6S RNA was the first non coding RNA to be sequenced, but its function was unknown until recently. It consists of 184 nucleotides that fold into an extended hairpin structure with a large single-stranded internal bulge. Lineage: Bacteria; Bacillati; Bacillota; Clostridia; Eubacteriales; Oscillospiraceae. The record is from RNAcentral.